GAUGAACGCUGGCGGCGUGCCUAAUACAUGCAAGUCGAGCGAACGGACGAGAAGCUUGCUUCUCUGAUGUUAGCGGCAGACGGGUGAGUAACACGUGGAUAACCUACCUAUAAGACUGGGAUAACUUCGGGAAACCGGAGCUAAUACCGGAUGAUAUUUUGAACCGCAUGGUUCAAAAGUGAAAGACGGUCUUGCUGUCACUUAUAGAUGGAUCCGCGCUGCAUUAGCUAGUUGGUAAGGUAACGGCUUACCAAGGCAACGAUGCAUAGCCGACCUGAGAGGGUGAUCGGCCACACUGGAACUGAGACACGGUCCAGACUCCUACGGGAGGCAGCAGUAGGGAAUCUUCCGCAAUGGGCGAAAGCCUGACGGAGCAAUGCCGCGUGAGUGAUGAAGGUCUUCGGAUCGUAAAACUCUGUUAUUAGGGAAGAACAUAUGUGUAAGUAACUGUGCACAUCUUGACGGUACCUAAUCAGAAAGCCACGGCUAACUACGUG
This 497-nucleotide ribosomal RNA is filed under the name uncultured bacterium. RNAcentral's name for it is "partial 16S ribosomal RNA". It matches the Rfam family "Bacterial small subunit ribosomal RNA", at positions 28 to 507 of the family's 1533-position model. The record is from RNAcentral.